This 999-nucleotide ribosomal RNA is filed under the name Triticum aestivum (bread wheat). RNAcentral describes it as "partial small subunit ribosomal RNA". The record is from RNAcentral. Lineage: Eukaryota; Viridiplantae; Streptophyta; Magnoliopsida; Poales; Poaceae.
CUCGCAUAGAACAACAAAAACUGACUGACAGGGCCCACUUGUCGGUCCGACAUGGCAUGUAUAUGUGUAUACCUUGCUGAGAUGGAACAUGGGUCCCACAUGUCAUCCACUCACUUCCUUUUUCCUCUCUUCUUCUUCCCCAUCCUCUUAUCCUUCCCCGUCGUCAUCUCUCUCUGGUCACCAACAUGCCUUAUAGCCCCGUCGUGCUUCACCAAACUUCGAAGGACGACGGCGAGAUCUGGCUGGAGCCCUCCUCCGCACGUUGGCUUGAUGGUGAGAUCCAACCGGUCCUCGGCCUUCUCCCACUGGGACACGCGCACCCCGCAGAUCCGUUCCCGAUGACGGGAGCUCCGGCAGAAGCGGUGGGCCGUGGUGGUGCAUCUCAGAUGCAGCCCUGGCGGCACUCGUGCUCGCGGCGGCGACCGCACCGGCGUGGCGCCCCUCGCCUCCCCGCCGCCUGGCGUCAGCUGAAUCCGAGGCCAUCUGUGCCCGUCGCCCUCCCCGCGCGCCCCCCUCCCCAUCUGUGCUCGCGGCGGCGACUGCACCGACAUGGCGCCCCUCGCCUCCCCGCCACCUAGCGCCCCUCGCCUAUUCGCCGCCUCGCGCCGGCCGAAUCUCAGGCCAUCUGCGCCCGCCGGCCCCUCCCCGCGCGCGCCGUGGUGGAGCGGCCUAGCCGUGCCCAUGCUCGCGGCGGCGACCGCACCAGUGUGGCGCCCCUCGCCAUAGCUCGUCCACGGUCGACAGCAGGAGGCGCUGCAGGCUGCAGCGAGCUUGGGCAGAGGCAACAACAUGGGGCUCUCGCCGGCGGCCGAGGUCGUGGAUGGCGGCACUGCAGGCACGGAGCGGCGGCGCGCAGGCGUGGUCGCGGGAUGGCAGCGGACGCGAGUGAGAAGGAGAGGGAGAGAGAGAAAAUUGAGGAGGAACAAGAAAGUGUGAGACAGACAAAUGGGGCCCCCAUCCACCUCAGCAAGUCAAACGUUGACUAGGACUAGUUUUAGC